This 829-nucleotide long non-coding RNA is filed under the name Drosophila guanche. Lineage: Eukaryota; Metazoa; Arthropoda; Insecta; Diptera; Drosophilidae. The record is from RNAcentral.
AACAGGAUAGAAGUAGGGAAAAGAGAAAACGAAUCGGAUUGCUGUGCCAUCGUAAAGAAUAAAUGUAUAGCUGCAUGUACGUGUGUGCAUAUGUGGAUAUGCAUGGUGGAACGUUGCCAUGUGCUACCUGCAUUAGAGAGAAAAUGCAGGCUAGACUGUAGCAGCGCAGAGCUAAUUGAUGCGAAAUAAGAAUACGCGGCUCGAGUGAGCACUUGUUGCGGGACAGGAAGUGUAUGUGACAGCUGUAGCGCCCAGUCAAGUGGACGGAUACCACAAGGCACAACCUCGUCUCGUCUCUUCUGGCGUACUUGUUCAAAGUGCAACAAGCAAGCCGACUUUCUUAAUGACACUCUCCCCUCACGGGGUGAAAGUCGCCUCAAGCAACAGGUUGCUUUCUGUACGGGUAUUGUAUGUAUGUAUCCGUUCCAGAAUGCAUCCAAUCUCAAACUCGUUUUCUCCGCUUUUAAAUAAAAUACAGAUAGAUGCAUUCGUCCUCUCACUGAAACUUUUCCAAGACAAAUUGUUUGAAGCGAAGUUGAUUGGCUCAAUUGUAUGGAACUAUCAGUAUUAAUUUCCCCAAAAUAUGAUCCGCCUGGAAAUCUUUCGGAUUGAUACACGAAUUGAAUUCAACCUAGAGUUCCAUAAAUAGAUGAUAAGUAAUCUUAGAGAAGUUGGCAAUUCACUCCACCUUUCAUAUUCAUACAAUGGGUAAAUGUUCUGUCAACUGAGACAUGUGACAUGUGUCGCUUGGAGGGGUUUUUCCUCGUAUUUACACUAAUACUAGCUGGAACUUUUUUAGCCAUGCUGAAAUAGUGUGGCUGAGCUUGAG